GUGCUCACUUCAGCAGCCUGUAUACUUAAAAAAAUGGGAAUGACACAAAGAAGAUUAGCAUGGUCCUUGUGCAAGGAUGACACACAAAUUAAUGAAGUGUUCCAUAUUUUU
Vulpes vulpes (red fox) is the source of this 111-nucleotide small nuclear RNA. NCBI's taxonomy places the organism in Eukaryota, Metazoa, Chordata, Mammalia, Carnivora, Canidae. The record is from Ensembl.